Long non-coding RNA from Cotesia glomerata, 518 nucleotides. RefSeq lists it as uncharacterized. The transcript is spliced from 3 exons. NCBI's taxonomy places the organism in Eukaryota, Metazoa, Arthropoda, Insecta, Hymenoptera, Braconidae. The record is from RefSeq and is a predicted model, not a curated record.
AUAAAUUAAUUUAAUAAAUAAUAAUAAAAUUAAUUUAAAAUCACAGUUACUGACUUAUUGGUAGAUACUGACUAAAGACCAAAGCCGAUACGUAUAAACGCAACUAUAUUGUACUUAUAUUAUCGUACGAUAUAAGCAAGUGAAAUAGUAAAACCGAACUGUAUAAAUUGUCGAGUUUAGCUGGUUCUCUCUUUACUUGUGCCGACAAGUACAUUCAGAUAAGUAGGGGUACAACGUAGAACCAGGGCCGUAACAUUUGCAAUAUAAAGCACCAAUUAAUAUAUAUGUUAAAUUGAUGAUUGCAAUUUAAAUUGAUUUAUUUAUAAAAUUGUCAACUACUACCACCAGAGCUUGUAAGAAUGAAGUCUCUCAUUCAAAAUUACUAUUUGAAUUGUUAAUCACAGAUAACGCACUUUCCCGGUAAUUAUCACUGGAAUGCCAAUCGACGUAACAUCGGAUGAUCCGCGACGUCACGUAGUGCAGUAUUGAUUUAAAUUUUGAAAAAAAUGGCGGGAAAU